This 166-nucleotide small nucleolar RNA is filed under the name Choloepus hoffmanni (Hoffmann's two-fingered sloth). RNAcentral's name for it is "Small Cajal body specific RNA 1 (ENSCHOG00000016109.1)". It matches the Rfam family "Small Cajal body specific RNA 1". From Rfam's summary of the family: scaRNAs are a specific class of small nuclear RNAs which localise to the Cajal bodies and guide the modification of RNA polymerase II transcribed spliceosomal RNAs U1, U2, U4, U5 and U12. ACA35 belong to the H/ACA box class of guide RNAs as it has the predicted hairpin-hinge-hairpin-tail structure, conserved H/ACA-box motifs and is found associated with GAR1. The record is from RNAcentral. Lineage: Eukaryota; Metazoa; Chordata; Mammalia; Pilosa; Megalonychidae.
CAGUACUUGAUACUAAAUGACCUAUCUAUAUCCUAGCCUUGUGUCAGAGGCUUGUGAUGUGUUAUGAUAGCCAGGUUUAAAAAGUACAAUAUUAAAACAAAAGCAAUGAGUCUUUUAAGCCAACUGUGUAAAGACACACUCUGGGUUAUAACUCAAAGGCACAAAG